GACAGGUGGUGCAUGGUUGUCGUCAGCUCGUGUCGUGAGAUGUUGGUUAAGUCCCGCAACGAGCGCAACCCUUACGGUUAGUUGCCAGCGGUUAAAGCCGGGCACUCUAGCUGAACUGCCGUUGACAAAACGGAGAAGGUGGGAUGACGUCAAAUCAUCAUGCCCUUUAUAUCCUGGGCUACACACGUGCUACAAUGGCCUGUACAGAGGGCAGCGAAGGGGCAACCUGGAGCGAAUCCCAAAAAGCAGGUCUCAGUUCGGAUUGCAGGCUGCAACUCGCCUGCAUGAAGUCGGAAUCGCUAGUAAUCGCAGGUCAGCAUACUGCGGUGAAUACGUUCCCGGGCCUU
Molecule: ribosomal RNA, 347 nt
Filed under: uncultured Desulfotomaculum sp.
Lineage: Bacteria; Bacillati; Bacillota; Clostridia; Eubacteriales; Desulfotomaculaceae
Description: bacterial SSU rRNA
Rfam family: Bacterial small subunit ribosomal RNA
Source: RNAcentral